GAUGAACGCUGGCGGCGUGCCUAAUACAUGCAAGUCGAGCGAACGGACGAGAAGCUUGCUUCUCUGAUGUUAGCGGCGGACGGGUGAGUAACACGUGGAUAACCUACCUAUAAGACUGGGAUAACUUCGGGAAACCGUAGCUAAUACCGGAUAAUAUUUUGAACCGCAUGGUUCAAAAGUGAAAGACGGUCUUGCUGUCACUUAUAGAUGGAUCCGCGCUGCAUUAGCUAGUUGGUAAGGUAACGGCUUACCAAGGCAACGAUGCAUAGCCGACCUGAGAGGGUGAUCGGCCACACUGGAACUGAGACACGGUCCAGACUCCUACGGGAGGCCGCAGUAGGGAAUCUUCCGCAAUGGGCGAAAGCCUGACGGAGCAACGCCGCGUGAGUGAUGAAGGUCUUCGGAUCGUAAAACUCUGUUAUUAGGGAAGAACAUAUGUGUAAGUAACUGUGCACAUCUUGACGGUACCUAAUCAGAAAGCCACGGCUAACUACGUG
Molecule: ribosomal RNA, 497 nt
Filed under: uncultured bacterium
Lineage: Bacteria
Description: partial 16S ribosomal RNA
Rfam family: Bacterial small subunit ribosomal RNA
Source: RNAcentral